UACGUAGGGGGCAAGCGUUGUCCGGAAUCAUUGGGCGUAAAGAGCGUGUAGGCGGCCAGGUAGGUCAGCUGUGAAAACUCGAGGCUCAACCUCGAGACGCCGGUUGAAACCAUCUGGCUAGAGUCCGGAAGAGGAGAGUGGAAUUCCUGGUGUAGCGGUGAAAUGCGCAGAUAUCAGGAAGAACACCCGUGGCUAAGGCGGCUCUCUAGUACGGUACUGACGCUGAGACGCGAAAGCGUGGGGAGCGAACAGG
This 253-nucleotide ribosomal RNA is filed under the name uncultured bacterium. Its description in RNAcentral is "partial 16S ribosomal RNA". It matches the Rfam family "Bacterial small subunit ribosomal RNA", at positions 524 to 776 of the family's 1533-position model. The record is from RNAcentral.